UAGGGAAUCUUCCACAAUGGGCGAAAGCCUGAUGGAGCAACGCCGCGUGUGUGAUGAAGGGUUUCGGCUCGUAAAACACUGUUGUAAGGGAAGAAUGACAUUGAGAGUAACUGUUCAAUGUGUGACGGUAUCUUACCAGAAAGGAACGGCUAAAUACGUGCCAGCAG
This 167-nucleotide ribosomal RNA is filed under the name uncultured bacterium. RNAcentral describes it as "partial 16S rRNA". It matches the Rfam family "Bacterial small subunit ribosomal RNA", at positions 355 to 514 of the family's 1533-position model. The record is from RNAcentral.